UACGUAGGCAGCGAGCGUUGUUCGGAGUUACUGGGCGUAAAGGGUGUGUAGGCGGCCUGUUAAGUUCCGUGUGAAAUCUCCCGGCUCAACCGGGAGGGUGCGCGGAAUACUGACGGGCUAGAGUGCGGGAUGGGAGAGUAGAAUUCCUGGUGUAGCGGUGAAAUGCGUAGAUAUCAGGAGGAAUACCGGUGGUGAAGACGGCUCUCUGGACCGUAACUGACGCUGAGACACGAAAGCGUGGGUAGCAAACAGG
This 253-nucleotide ribosomal RNA is filed under the name uncultured bacterium. RNAcentral's name for it is "partial 16S ribosomal RNA". It matches the Rfam family "Bacterial small subunit ribosomal RNA", at positions 524 to 776 of the family's 1533-position model. The record is from RNAcentral.